AUAAGGGGUGGGAAGGGCUUGUGUGCGCCCCGGGGCCGCUUCCCGCCGCCAAGGAGCUGGUUUGGGGUUGCAGGAGGAGACCCUGAGGGGGAGGGACAGCAAGGCACAUCAAACUAAAUAAAUGGUUAGUAAACACCUUAACUAAAUUUCUGAAGAAAGCAUACACCACAACUGGAUGAACAGGACAUUUGCAGAGACUUCAGUUAGAUCCAUGGAACCUAUACAUUAGGACCUUAGGAUAAUUUGUGUUGGACGAGAUCUGAGGAGGCUUUUAAUCCAACCUGUUGUUCAAAGCUGGAUCAGCUCUGGGACCGUUUAUUGGGGAACCCAGCGAAAUUGGUUCAGCAGCUCUAGGACCAGGCCAAGGUAUAUGAUGUGACGCUGAGCUAGACAUGCAAUAAAUACCUGAGGGCUGAGUUUACCUGUGCCUGCUGACUUCUGUGGGAGUUGUGUGUUCAGAUGACGUUCAAGGUUCGUGUGUGAG
This is a long non-coding RNA of Ficedula albicollis (Collared flycatcher), 484 nucleotides long. RefSeq lists it as uncharacterized. The transcript is spliced from 3 exons. The record is from RefSeq and is a predicted model, not a curated record. NCBI's taxonomy places the organism in Eukaryota, Metazoa, Chordata, Aves, Passeriformes, Muscicapidae.